ACCAGUUUCCGUCUGGAACCUUCCUGCUCUCUCCUGAGAUGUUUUUAUUUUGGGAAAUACGAGCCUGCAUCACCCGUUUUCCCCAAGACGCGACCCUACUCAUUUUCAGGUAAUUGCAGAUUCACACGCCACUGUGAGAAAUGAUCUAGAGAGAGCAUCCUUUUCUACUUUGCUCCCCAUUUCUGCCAACAGAAACACUUUGCAUGCUACAGUAAAACAUCACAACCUGGAUACUGACA
Molecule: long non-coding RNA, 239 nt
Organism: Felis catus (domestic cat)
Lineage: Eukaryota; Metazoa; Chordata; Mammalia; Carnivora; Felidae
Exons: 2
Source: RefSeq, a predicted model, not a curated record